UCCAAGAAACUAAUGAUUUUGGGUAUUUCGCCACUGGACUCGAUCUCAUCUACCAGCGGUGACUUGAUUAACUUGAUGAGCGUACAGAGUACUUCCAUUGAUUUCCAGGAAGCCAUUGACACAAGAGCAUGAAUCAAAGGACCCAUUAGCAUUUGACCCACGAAAACAUCUUUAUUGAAUCGAAUCAAAGCUGCAACAACAAAAGCGCACUGUUCUCGAAUCCUCUUCGAGCAAUUGGGAUCGCAGAUUAUUUUUUCAAGCAACAAAAGAAUCUUAGAUUUAAGAAUCAAAUCUUGUAACUCGCGAUUAAACCCUUGCGAGAGCCUAUUCUCAAACUGAGUUAACAAACUCACCAACUCGUCUUCGUUCUUUACAGUCCCUUUCAACAAAGUCGUCAAAUUCUCGAUGCUUUCACGAUCGAUCCAGGCUUGAAUCUCA
RNAcentral lists this unclassified non-coding RNA (438 nucleotides) under Hevea brasiliensis (rubber tree). The record is from RNAcentral. Lineage: Eukaryota; Viridiplantae; Streptophyta; Magnoliopsida; Malpighiales; Euphorbiaceae.